ACUUGAAUCUUUUUGAUCUAUGAAUCGGACUCUUUGUAUCGGCGAUUACCUUUCCUGUAAAACAUAAAAAAAAUAUCAAAUUCUUAAUAAAUAAAAUAAAUUAAAUAUAAUUUUCUUCUUUAAAUGACUUAAAUUAAGUAUUUAUCACGGCCCCAGCCAGGCGACCUUCUUCUGUCCGAGCUGCCUCCCUCUUGGCGAUCUUCACUGCCUCGACGUUGGCGACAAGCUGGUGCCCAAUCUGCAAGAA
This 247-nucleotide long non-coding RNA is filed under the name Elaeis guineensis (African oil palm). RNAcentral describes it as "long non-coding RNA (EGUI_LNC027702)". The record is from RNAcentral. Lineage: Eukaryota; Viridiplantae; Streptophyta; Magnoliopsida; Arecales; Arecaceae.